This 30-nucleotide non-coding RNA is filed under the name Rattus norvegicus (Norway rat). Lineage: Eukaryota; Metazoa; Chordata; Mammalia; Rodentia; Muridae. The record is from RNAcentral.
UGGCACGUUUGUAGUCAAAGGAUUGGAAGG